CAACCCUCAAGACCCCUUCGGGGGACUUGGUGUUGGGGACCGGCACAGGGCCUGCUUGCUUGUCUCGCAGCGCCUCGCCGCCCCCGAAAUGAAUUGGCGGCCUCGUCGCGGCCUCCUCUGCGUAGUAGCACAACCUCGCAACGGGAGCGUGACGCGGCCACUGCCGUAAAACAACCCAAUUUUAUUAG
Molecule: unclassified non-coding RNA, 188 nt
Filed under: uncultured Paecilomyces
Lineage: Eukaryota; Fungi; Ascomycota; Eurotiomycetes; Eurotiales; Thermoascaceae
Description: sequence contains ITS2
Source: RNAcentral